GGGCAGUGAUGAGAAGAGAUGAAAGUCAUGCACCACUCUGAAGUUUUCAUUUGUGCUGAUAACACUCUUAUACCCAUUACUACUCUGAGCCC
Small nucleolar RNA from Dioscorea cayenensis subsp. rotundata (Guinea yam), 92 nucleotides. RefSeq annotates it as small nucleolar RNA Z221/R21b. The record is from RefSeq and is a predicted model, not a curated record. NCBI's taxonomy places the organism in Eukaryota, Viridiplantae, Streptophyta, Magnoliopsida, Dioscoreales, Dioscoreaceae. The transcript has a single exon.